Molecule: ribosomal RNA, 749 nt
Filed under: Salmonella enterica
Lineage: Bacteria; Pseudomonadati; Pseudomonadota; Gammaproteobacteria; Enterobacterales; Enterobacteriaceae
Also listed under: 1 other name
Description: partial 23S ribosomal RNA
Rfam family: Bacterial large subunit ribosomal RNA
Source: RNAcentral
ACAAGCGGUGAGUGCUUUGGGGUGGGGUGACUGCGUACCUUUUGUAUAAUGGGUCAGCGACUUAUAUUCUGUAGCAAGGUUAACCGUAUAGGGGAGCCGAAGGGAAACCGAGUCUUAACCGGGCGUUAAGUUGCAGGGUAUAGACCCGAAACCCGGUGAUCUAGCCAUGGGCAGGUUGAAGGUUGGGUAACACUAACUGGAGGACCGAACCGACUAAUGUUGAAAAAUUAGCGGAUGACUUGUGGCUGGGGGUGAAAGGCCAAUCAAACCGGGAGAUAGCUGGUUCUCCCCGAAAGCUAUUUAGGUAGCGCCUCGUGAACUCAUCUUCGGGGGUAGAGCACUGUUUCGGCUAGGGGGUCAUCCCGACUUACCAACCCGAUGCAAACUGCGAAUACCGAAGAAUGUUAUCACGGGAGACACACGGCGGGUGCUAACGUCCGUCGUGAAGAGGGAAACAACCCAGACCGCCAGCUAAGGUCCCAAAGUCACAGUUAAGUGGGAAACGAUGUGGGAAGGCUCAGACAGCCAGGAUGUUGGCUUAGAAGCAGCCAUCAUUUAAAGAAAGCGUAAUAGCUCACUGGUCGAGUCGGCCUGCGCGGAAGAUGUAACGGGGCUAAACUGUGCACCGAAGCUGCGGCAGCGACGCUUAUGCGUUGUUGGGUAGGGGAGCGUUCUGUAAGCCUGCGAAGGUGUCCUGUGAGGGAUGCUGGAGGUAUCAGAAGUGCGAAUGCUGACAUAAGUAACGAUAA